UACGUAGGGUGCAAGCGUUUAAUCGGAAUUACUGGGCGUAAAGCGUGCGCAGGCGGCUAUGCAAGACAGAUGUGAAAUCCCCGGGCUCAACCUGGGAACUGCAUUUGUGACUGCAUGGCUAGAGUACGGUAGAGGGGGAUGGAAUUCCGCGUGUAGCAGUGAAAUGCGUAGAUAUGCGGAGGAACACCGAUGGCGAAGGCAAUCCCCUGGACCUGUACUGACGCUCAUGCACGAAAGCGUGGGGAGCAAACAGG
This 254-nucleotide ribosomal RNA is filed under the name uncultured bacterium. RNAcentral describes it as "partial 16S ribosomal RNA". It matches the Rfam family "Bacterial small subunit ribosomal RNA", at positions 524 to 776 of the family's 1533-position model. The record is from RNAcentral.